This is a long non-coding RNA of Selaginella moellendorffii, 939 nucleotides long. RefSeq lists it as uncharacterized. The record is from RefSeq and is a predicted model, not a curated record. NCBI's taxonomy places the organism in Eukaryota, Viridiplantae, Streptophyta, Lycopodiopsida, Selaginellales, Selaginellaceae. The transcript is spliced from 4 exons.
CUUCGAUCCGGCGAGGAUAGAUUCAAGACCUCUGUGUGUCUGGACCACCUCGAAGCUGCAAACCGCAGGAACAACAGUGACCUCUGCAUUGGAUUCACAGAAGGGUGUUUCAGGAGGAUUGAUGGCCUCUUUUGUUCCUUCUCCAAGCCCUGCUCGUGAAACAAAAGUGGAGAAAGCGAUGCAUGCGUGCUAAGACGCGAGGAGCAAAAACUAAAACCGAGGAUCCCAGCAGUGGUCAACCCUCGACUUAAAUACAAGAAGCUCUCGGCUAGCUCCCGGACACUGUAGCAGACUCGGACAGCUUUUCCUUCCGAGACUCAGCUUUUCAAACGGGGGAGCGAGAGGGAGCAAGCGAGAGCUCCGAUCCGAUCACCGCACCGCAAAGGCACCCGUGAUUUUUUUCUUGGCGUUACGUAGAAUCGCUUUUGGUCUGCCACCGCUUUUCCAAAGAGGUACCUUUAAUUCCUUUAUUUGUUUGGCUCUGGGGGAGUAUCAUGGGAGCACGUUUGGCUUCUGUCUGGCUAGAAAAAUUUAGAAGCUUUCAUCCUUAAACCGACUCAAAGCUUGACUUUGAUGUGGUUUUCCAGGUAUAAAAAGAUUAUCCUCGCAACUCGGGAUCAAAGUGUGCUCGUUUUCCCGUAGGAAUGAUGUCGUGUUUGACAAUGUAGGUGGUACGCAUGGGAAGAACUUGUAUGAGCAGUAGUAGCGAGUAUGCUGCCGACGGCCGUGAAUCUUGUACCCGUCCAUGAACUCGAGAGUCAGCCGGCAACAAGUGUUCCCCGAGUUUUCGAGAAUGAUGUGCUCCAGUCCGGUGAUCUCGCAGAACUCCACCGCUUGCAGGGACCAUCGGCAUCAAGCUGCUUGGUGUCUAAGUAGUCUUGAUGUCCCUGCAAUCACCAGUUUCAAUUCAAACAUAAUUCAAGACUAGCUCGUUGGAUC